Molecule: ribosomal RNA, 975 nt
Filed under: uncultured Hypocreales
Lineage: Eukaryota; Fungi; Ascomycota; Sordariomycetes; Hypocreales
Description: eukaryotic LSU rRNA
Rfam family: Eukaryotic large subunit ribosomal RNA (bases 333-975)
Source: RNAcentral
AAAACUUUCAACAACGGAUCUCUUGGCUCUGGCAUCGAUGAAGAACGCAGCGAAAUGCGAUAAGUAAUGUGAAUUGCAGAAUUCAGUGAAUCAUCGAAUCUUUGAACGCACAUUGCGCCCGCCAGUAUUCUGGCGGGCAUGCCUGUUCGAGCGUCAUUACAACCCUCAGGCCCCCGGGCCUGGCGUUGGGGAUCGGCGGAAGCCCCCUGCGGGCACAACGCCGUCCCCCAAAUACAGUGGCGGUCCCGCCGCAGCUUCCAUUGCGUAGUAGCUAACACCUCGCAACUGGAGAGCGGCGCGGCCACGCCGUAAAACACCCAACUUCUGAAUGUUGACCUCGAAUCAGGUAGGAAUACCCGCUGAACUUAAGCAUAUCAAUAAGCGGAGGAAAAGAAACCAACAGGGAUUGCCCCAGUAACGGCGAGUGAAGCGGCAACAGCUCAAAUUUGAAAUCUGGCUCUCGGGCCCGAGUUGUAAUUUGUAGAGGAUGCUUUUGGUGAGGUGCCUUCCGAGUUCCCUGGAACGGGACGCCAUAGAGGGUGAGAGCCCCGUCUGGUUGGACACCGAUCCUCUGUAAAGCUCCUUCGACGAGUCGAGUAGUUUGGGAAUGCUGCUCUAAAUGGGAGGUAUAUGUCUUCUAAAGCUAAAUACCGGCCAGAGACCGAUAGCGCACAAGUAGAGUGAUCGAAAGAUGAAAAGAACUUUGAAAAGAGAGUUAAGAAGUACGUGAAAUUGUUGAAAGGGAAGCGCUUGUGACCAGACUUGGGCCUGGUUGAUCAUCCGGGGUUCUCCCCGGUGCACUCUUCCGGCUCAGGCCAGCAUCAGUUCGCCCUGGGGGAUAAAGGCUUCGGGAAUGUGGCUCUCUCCGGGGAGUGUUAUAGCCCGCUGCGUAAUACCCUGUGGCGGACUGAGGUUCGCGCAUUCGCAAGGAUGCUGGCGUAAUGGUCAUCAGUGACCCGUCUUGAAACACGGACC